UGGGGAAUAUUGCACAAUGGAGGGAACUCUGAUGCAGCGACGCCGCGUGAACGAAGAAGGCUUUCGAGUCGUAAAGUUCUUUUAUAGGGGAAGAUAAUGACGGUACCAUAAGAAAAAGCCCCGGCUAACUACGUGCCAGCAGCCGCGGUAAUACGUAGGGGGCUAGCGUUGUCCGGAAUCACUGGGCGUAAAGGGUUCGCAGGCGGAAAUGCAAGUCAGGUGUAACAGGCAGUAGCUUAACUACUGUAAGCAUUUGAAACUGCAUAUCUUGAGAAGUGUAGAUGUAAGUGGAAUUUUUAGUGUAGCGGUGAAAUGCGUAGAUAUUAACAAGAAUACCGGUGGCGAAGGCGACUUACUGGGCUCAUUCUGACGCUGAGGAACGACAGCGUGGGUAGCAACCAGG
Molecule: ribosomal RNA, 403 nt
Filed under: Fusobacteriota bacterium
Lineage: Bacteria; Fusobacteriati; Fusobacteriota
Description: Fusobacteria bacterium partial 16S ribosomal RNA
Rfam family: Bacterial small subunit ribosomal RNA
Source: RNAcentral